This is a non-coding RNA of Triticum aestivum (bread wheat), 125 nucleotides long. NCBI's taxonomy places the organism in Eukaryota, Viridiplantae, Streptophyta, Magnoliopsida, Poales, Poaceae. The record is from Rfam.
UUACUACUCCCUCCGUCCGAAAAUACUUGUCGGAGAAAUGGAUAAAAAUAGAUGUAUCCAAAACUAAAAUAUGUCUAGAUACAUCCAUUCCUGCGACAAGUAUUUCCGGACGGAGGGAGUAGAAU